UACAGAGGUCCCAAGCGUUGUUCGGAUUCAUUGGGCGUAAAGGGUGCGUAGGUGGCGCCGUAAGUCAGGUGUGAAAUCUCGGGGCUUAACUCCGAAACUGCAUUUGAUACUGCGGUGCUUGAGGACUGGAGAGGAGACUGGAAUUUACGGUGUAGCAGUGAAAUGCGUAGAGAUCGUAAGGAAGACCAGUGGCGAAGGCGGGUCUCUGGACAGUUCCUGACACUGAGACACGAAGGCCAGGGGAGCAAACGGG
This 253-nucleotide ribosomal RNA is filed under the name uncultured bacterium. Its description in RNAcentral is "partial 16S ribosomal RNA". It matches the Rfam family "Bacterial small subunit ribosomal RNA", at positions 524 to 776 of the family's 1533-position model. The record is from RNAcentral.